Molecule: non-coding RNA, 29 nt
Filed under: Rattus norvegicus (Norway rat)
Lineage: Eukaryota; Metazoa; Chordata; Mammalia; Rodentia; Muridae
Source: RNAcentral
UGUGUUCUCAUGAUACCUGUUUGAUACAC